Molecule: ribosomal RNA, 487 nt
Filed under: uncultured bacterium
Lineage: Bacteria
Description: partial 16S ribosomal RNA
Rfam family: Bacterial small subunit ribosomal RNA
Source: RNAcentral
GAUGAACGCUGGCGGCGUGCUUAACACAUGCAAGUCGAACGAAGCACUUUUGAUUCUUCGGAAAAGAAAGUGACUGAGUGGCGGACGGGUGGGUAACGCGUGGGUAACCUGCCUUAUACAGGGGGAUAACAGUUGGAAACGACUGCUAAUACCGCAUAAGCCGACAGGGCCGCAUGGCCUGGUUGGAAAGGAUUUAUCGGUAUAAGAUGGACCCGCGUCUGAUUAGCUAGUUGGUGAGGUAAUGGCUCACCAAGGCGACGAUCAGUAGCCGGCUUGAGAGAGUGAACGGCCACAUUGAGACUGAGACACGGCCCAAACUCCUACGGGAGGCAGCAGUGGGGAAUAUUGCACAAUGGGGGAAACCCUGAUGCAGCAACGCCGCGUGAAGGAAGAAGUAUUUCGGUAUGUAAACUUCUAUCAGCAGGAAAGAAAAUGACGGUACCUGACUAAGAAGCCCCGGCUAACUACGUGCCAGCCGCCGCGGUAA